This 481-nucleotide ribosomal RNA is filed under the name uncultured bacterium. RNAcentral's name for it is "partial 16S ribosomal RNA". It matches the Rfam family "Bacterial small subunit ribosomal RNA", at positions 28 to 507 of the family's 1533-position model. The record is from RNAcentral.
GAUGAACGCUGGCGGCGUGCUUAACACAUGCAAGUCGAACGAAGCACUUUAUUUGAUUUCCUUCGGGACUGAUUAUUCUGUGACUGAGUGGCGGACGGGUGAGUAACGCGUGGGUAACCUGCCUUGUACAGGGGGAUAACAGUUGGAAACGGCUGCUAAUACCGCAUAAGCGCACGGCAUCGCAUGAUGCAGUGUGAAAAACUCCGGUGGUAUAAGAUGGACCCGCGUUGGAUUAGCUAGUUGGUGAGGUAACGGCCCACCAAGGCGACGAUCCAUAGCCGACCUGAGAGGGUGACCGGCCACAUUGGGACUGAGACACGGCCCAAACUCCUACGGGAGGCAGCAGUGGGGAAUAUUGCACAAUGGGCGAAAGCCUGAUGCAGCGACGCCGCGUGAGCGAAGAAGUAUUUCGGUAUGUAAAGCUCUAUCAGCAGGGAAGAUAAUGACGGUACCUGACUAAGAAGCACCGGCUAAAUACGUG